Long non-coding RNA from Sceloporus undulatus (fence lizard), 1111 nucleotides. RefSeq lists it as uncharacterized. The transcript has 2 exons. The record is from RefSeq and is a predicted model, not a curated record. NCBI's taxonomy places the organism in Eukaryota, Metazoa, Chordata, Lepidosauria, Squamata, Phrynosomatidae.
CCAAACUGGGGAUGGGAUGGAACAUCCCUUCCUUGCCCCAUGGAUAAAGAAUUGGAGGGCGGAGGUGGUUGGAGGUCACGGUAAAGAAUAAAAGGCCCUUUGAGUUUUGGGGCCUGGCAUCCCAGAGUCAUGGGACCCCUUUCAGGCUGGUCAUGGGAUCUGGGGAGAGGAAAACUCUCCUCCUCCUCCCCGGAUCCAAAUUAAGUCCUCUUAAGUCGGUUUUAAAUUCCUGCCCUCCCUCCUGCACCCUCCUGCUCUUUCCACCACUUGGGAUUUUCACGUGAUUGUCAUACAGACGCGGAGGGUAUAAAAGGAGCCUGGAGGGACCCCCGUUCCACCGUCUGGGGAGAAGAAGGUGAAAGGGAGACGCAGAGCACUCCGGCCUCCGCGCAUGGGCCUGGCGGAGAGGAUGGAGACUCCCAAGGCCCACCCAAAGAACAAUCCUCAAACUUGGAGACGGUGAACCUGGGACGAUUAUUCUCUGCUCAGACCUUUGCAAAGGAAGGGAAUUCGAACCCGUGACCCCUUGGCCCUGUGGCUUUCCCUUUGUCAUCCUAUGCCUGGGCGAUCCUUGGAGGCUGGGACGAUAAAGGGAAGCCCACGGGGCUCUGGGCCCGACUGGAGCUGGGAAAAGGAGGCAGAAAUGCCACCCCUGCGAGGGAGACCGCACAUGCCUUUCCAUCCAGAAACCUCACCUCGGACCCAUCAUUUGCCACCGACAAACCUUCAAGGAUUUGGCAGCCAUCUGCCUACCACAGCCUUUCCAAUGUAUUUCCUAGCAGCUUUAAAAAGAAAUGUAUAUGAAGACUAGCAACUUGAUUUGUUAAAAAAUAAUUGAAGUCUGUAACCGUCCGGUGGAUAAAUACUUAGCUUUUCUGGAUCAGAAGAUGGUAGGCUUUUACUGGCCUUUUUGUCCUCUGGGUCUUGGAAAAGCCUUAAAUAAUUGUCUUAUAACUUCAGUUUUAAUGAUUGUGGAAGGUCUAUUGUAGAAGUAAAGGAAGAUGCUUGAAACCUGGAGAGCUUUAAGGCAAAAAGACACACUGAAAAUGUUAAAAAUGACAUUAAAUGUACUCUUGCCAUGACAUACCUUUAAACUGACUUAUAAAAAACC